GUGUCAGCCGCCGCGGUAAUACCGGCAGCACGAGUGAUGACCGCUAUUAUUGGGCCUAAAGCGUCCGUAGCUGGCCGUGCAAGUCCAUCGGGAAAUCCGCGCGCUUAACGCGCGGGCGUCCGGUGGAAACUGCAUGGCUUGGGACCGGAAGACCAGAGGGGCACGUCCGGGGUAGGAGUGAAAUCCCGUAAUCCUGGACGGACCACCGGUGGCGAAAGCGCCUCAGGAGGACGGAUCCGACAGUGAGGAACGAAAGCUAGGGUCUCGAACCGGAUUAGAAACCCCCGUAGUCC
This 293-nucleotide ribosomal RNA is filed under the name uncultured prokaryote. RNAcentral describes it as "partial 16S ribosomal RNA". It matches the Rfam family "Archaeal small subunit ribosomal RNA", at positions 455 to 747 of the family's 1478-position model. The record is from RNAcentral.